UCUCCUGGAAACGGGUGGUAAUGCCGGAUGUUCCACAUGAGCGCAUGCGAGUGUGGGAAAGGCUUUUUGCGGCAUGGGAUGGGGUCGCGUCCUAUCAGCUUGUUGGUGGGGUAACGGCCUACCAAGGCGUUGACGGGUAGCCGGCCUGAGAGGGCGACCGGCCACAUUGGGACUGAGAUACGGCCCAGACUCCUACGGGAGGCAGCAGUGGGGAAUAUUGCACAAUGGGCGCAAGCCUGAUGCAGCGACGCCGCGUGCGGGAUGGAGGCCUUCGGGUUGUAAACCGCUUUUGUUCAAGGGCAAGGCACGGUUUCGGCCGUGUUGAGUGGAUUGUUCGAAUAAGCACCGGCUAACUACGUGCCAGCAGCCGCGGUAAUACGUAGGGUGCAAGCGUUAUCCGGAUUUAUUGGGCGUAAAGGGCUCGUAGGCGGUUCGUCGCGUCCGGUGUGAAAGUCCAUCGCUUAACGGUGGAUCCGCGCCGGGUACGGGCGGGCUUGAGUGCGGUAGGGGAGACUGGAAUUCCCGGUGUAACGGUGGAAUGUGUAGAUAUCGGGAGAACACCA
RNAcentral lists this ribosomal RNA (563 nucleotides) under uncultured Bifidobacterium sp. Its description in RNAcentral is "bacterial SSU rRNA". It matches the Rfam family "Bacterial small subunit ribosomal RNA", at positions 146 to 711 of the family's 1533-position model. The record is from RNAcentral. Lineage: Bacteria; Bacillati; Actinomycetota; Actinomycetes; Bifidobacteriales; Bifidobacteriaceae.